ACAUGCUGCAUUUAUUAAACAUAUCCUAUAGGCAUGAUUUCUAUAUAUGGAAGUAAAACAUGUAGAAUUCAUUAAACAGAUCCUAUAGGUGUGUUAUCUACCCUUUCUAAUAACGUAAAACAUGCAUAAUUACCCCCAUCCCUUUUCGCUAGCCAACCCCAAUGUUGUUUAUAAAUUAUUACACACCAAAUACCUAAAUUACAAAAGAAGUGCAGAAAUAAGAAAUUACAACCGAAAGAAGCCUGAUCUUUG
RNAcentral lists this long non-coding RNA (252 nucleotides) under Nicotiana benthamiana. RNAcentral describes it as "long non-coding RNA (NBEN_LNC032835)". The record is from RNAcentral. Lineage: Eukaryota; Viridiplantae; Streptophyta; Magnoliopsida; Solanales; Solanaceae.